CUCCCAACCCCAUAUUUUGGCCUCUCCCAACCUUUCACCUGGAAUGGGAAAGCAACUGUUUCCUCAUGGGAAUGAUCUGCUGGGGUAUUAUACAGACUAGAGGCGGCCAGAAUGUGGGGCAAGUCUACCUCUUUACAAGCCAGAAGGACUUGUAGGCCUGGUGCUGGAUUGUAAAUGUAUCACCUCCCCUGUGGGGCUCAGCCAGAAGGUCUGGUGCUCAUGGGCACCAAGCCCAUCUUGGUCAUGGGAAUCUGACCUAUGAAGACACUGGCCAGAGGACAAGGCCCUGGGCUCAAAGCGAGUUGGCGCAUUGCUCUAGGAGGCCUGGCCCCUUGUCGUCCUGGGAAGUGUGAGGACUUAGCUCCUAAAUGAGAUUGCUGGUGUUGACAGCCGGAGGCCAGGGAUCUGGGGCCACUUGCUAUCUGAGAGCCAGUGGUCCUGGUGUAUAAGAGGCACCCUCUCCAAGAUGGGGGCUCUGGAUUCUGUAGAUACCCACUUAGCCCCCCCCCAGAGGGCUCCUGGAGUGUCAGACCCAUCUCAUGGCACCUGUGGGUUUAUCAGGGUAAGUUGAGUGCUUCUGGAGUGUGGACAGGGCCAGAGGAAGGCCAGCAGCUCCGGGCUUCCUGCCAGGCAGCUCAGGGCCCAGAAGAGCCUAGGAGUCACGAGACACUUGCUCUCACCCUGCAACCAGCUCCAGCCUGCUGGGUCAGGGUGCACACUUGGAGCCAGGCAGGCUGAGCGCCCAGAACUGAAGAACAUAUCUCCUUGAACACCGUGUCUUUUAGCCCAGUCCUCUUGGCCUGUGAGCUUCAAGCUUGGAUCUAGCCCAGGAUUGCCAAGGUCAAGUGACGAUUUCCUUGACUCCAGAAGAGAACACUCGAGGAGAGGAAGCAGAAGGCUGCUAAGGGCCAGGUGUGGUGGAAAGGGAGAGCCUCCGGGAGAGCACUUCCUGUCCUCCAGCUAGCUCCUGCUCUCUCUGCCCUCUUCUGUGUGUGUGUGCACAAUCGUAUCUGCAUCCCAUGCCUAGGUGCCGCCCGCGGUAGUUCACAUGGCCUCCCUCAGUGGGGGAGCAUUUCUGCAUCUGGCCACAGCGAGAACUAAAUGGAGAGGUGAGGCAAUUAUUCUAGCUCUUUGGGUCUGAAGCUACUUCCACCUAAAAUAACCAGAUAUAAUUGAGGUCAGAGUGGGUGGUCCAUUCUGCUCGAAUUACCCACGUAAUUGCCUCAAUUUUCCCCUUGCCUUUGUGUAUGAGCCAAAACAUUAAUGUCGUCCAGGUCACAGAACACAGAUAGAAAUAAGCCACGUAAAUAAAGACAGAACUUCCCAGCCCAGGCUCCCUAUGGGGGGUAAGCCUCAUCUUGUAUUUUAUGACAGUAUUUUUCAAGCAACAGGUAUGUGGUGGCCCAAUGCAUGUGUUGGCAAUACCAUGAGGAUAAAGAAAGCAUGGUUUUGUCCAGCUGGAGCAUAGAUUUUAGUCAAGAAAAAGACAAAAGUCAGUAAACCAACAUCUACAACGAUUAUAAAUUAUAGUGAGGGUGAGAAUGAAUCAAAAAACUUCUAUGCAAUUGUAGGUAGCAGUACACACACACACACACACACACACAC
Molecule: long non-coding RNA, 1605 nt
Organism: Peromyscus leucopus (white-footed mouse)
Lineage: Eukaryota; Metazoa; Chordata; Mammalia; Rodentia; Cricetidae
Exons: 2
Source: RefSeq, a predicted model, not a curated record